GUGCUCUUAACCUUCAUGUCUAUUGGCAGAAGUACUUGUAGUCUUGUAUUUGUUACAUCUUGGCUCACUGGAUUGAAUAUUAUCUCCUCUUCUAAUUUUGUCAUGUCUUCUUUUGUAAUGUAUGUCGCCGCAUUAUGACAUUCUGCUAGUUAACGUGUGUGUGGUUUGUCAGUAACUUUUUCCAAAGAUAUAUUUAGUUAGUAAUCUUUCCCCACAAGUACCUGUAUGUUGUGGGGCUUCGCUAUCUGGUCGGCAGGAUCAAUUUGUUUCUGAUCGACUCGUUCCCUUGAAGCAAAAUUGAGUGUGCUGCUCUUUCUUAAUCUCUCCUCCAUCACCUUGCACAUUGUGUUUGGAGAACACAGGCGCAGCUAUACUCAUUUGACAUUAUAUAUAUAUAUGAAAUCUUUCCCCACAAGUACCUGUAUGUUGUGGGGCUUCGCUAUCUGGUCGGCAGGAUCAAUUUGUUUCUGAUCGACUCGUUCCCUUGAAGCAAAAUUGAGUGUGCUGCUCUUUCUUAAUCUCUCCUCCAUCACCUUGCACAUUGUGUUUGGAGAACACAGGCGCAGCUAUACUCAUUUGACAUUAUAUAUAUAUAUAUAUGAACAUAAGAUAUAGAUUUCAGGUUAAUAAGCUUAAUAAAUUUGUAUUCAAUUAAGUCUUAUUUUUGGCUUUUUAUUCUUUGC
Molecule: long non-coding RNA, 683 nt
Filed under: Coffea arabica (coffee)
Lineage: Eukaryota; Viridiplantae; Streptophyta; Magnoliopsida; Gentianales; Rubiaceae
Description: long non-coding RNA (CARA_LNC000676)
Source: RNAcentral